This 239-nucleotide unclassified non-coding RNA is filed under the name Hevea brasiliensis (rubber tree). Lineage: Eukaryota; Viridiplantae; Streptophyta; Magnoliopsida; Malpighiales; Euphorbiaceae. The record is from RNAcentral.
AAUAUUCCCAAGUUAAUUUUUUUAGAUGCAUCAAUGUCUCCAAAAGAACUGAUGAGAGAUGGCGAAGCAUUAACAUUGAGUACAAAACUAUUUGACAAAAGUACUAAGAGAGACUCGGUUAUUUUGGCUUAUUUUGAAGAGUGGAAACUUGUACAAAAGUCAUUCAGGUUCAUGUUUACUCUAAUUCGCACAAAUUUAAGUGUUUACUGCUUAAAUUCCCUCAGCUACCUUUGCAAGCA